RNAcentral lists this ribosomal RNA (387 nucleotides) under uncultured Mycobacterium sp. RNAcentral describes it as "bacterial SSU rRNA". It matches the Rfam family "Bacterial small subunit ribosomal RNA", at positions 961 to 1347 of the family's 1533-position model. Lineage: Bacteria; Bacillati; Actinomycetota; Actinomycetes; Mycobacteriales; Mycobacteriaceae. The record is from RNAcentral.
GCGAAGAACCUUACCUGGGUUUGACAUGCACAGGACGUGCCUAGAGAUAGGUAUUCCCUUGUGGCCUGUGUGCAGGUGGUGCAUGGCUGUCGUCAGCUCGUGUCGUGAGAUGUUGGGUUAAGUCCCGCAACGAGCGCAACCCUUGUCUCAUGUUGCCAGCACGUAAUGGUGGGGACUCGUGAGAGACUGCCGGGGUCAACUCGGAGGAAGGUGGGGAUGACGUCAAGUCAUCAUGCCCCUUAUGUCCAGGGCUUCACACAUGCUACAAUGGCCGGUACAAAGGGCUGCGAUGCCGUAAGGUGGAGCGAAUCCUUGUUAAAGCCGGUCUCAGUUCGGAUCGGGGUCUGCAACUCGACCCCGUGAAGUCGGAGUCGCUAGUAAUCGCAG